RNAcentral lists this long non-coding RNA (201 nucleotides) under Carica papaya (papaya). RNAcentral describes it as "long non-coding RNA (CPAP_LNC011792)". Lineage: Eukaryota; Viridiplantae; Streptophyta; Magnoliopsida; Brassicales; Caricaceae. The record is from RNAcentral.
UACAUAUAUUAACGUACCAGUGGCAGGUAAACAUGUGAAGGUGACGGGUGGAGAAAUUUUGGGAGGAAUUUUCACGUGUAGUUUUCCUGUUGGCAAGACGUAAUCGAUUACAUAAGGGUUAAAUACAUUUGUUGAUAACGCGCUUGAUAUGCGUGUGAGCAAUACUUCCUUUCGUGGCGUAGAAGCUACAGUUGGACCAAU